RNAcentral lists this long non-coding RNA (441 nucleotides) under Elaeis guineensis (African oil palm). RNAcentral describes it as "long non-coding RNA (EGUI_LNC021562)". The record is from RNAcentral. Lineage: Eukaryota; Viridiplantae; Streptophyta; Magnoliopsida; Arecales; Arecaceae.
CUGUUGGAUCCAUUAUCAUCUAACUUAAUGGGAGGCUAUGAUCUAGUUAUCACCAUAACUAUUUUAUUUUGAAGGACUUAAUAAUUUUAGAAAAUUUAAUUAGAUGAAAUAAAAGAUGAGAAAAGACUUGAUCAAUUAAUCUUAAUCUUCCCACUGACUUCACCAAAUUAGAUCAAAAAAGACUAGGCAUAAGCUGGUCUAGCCAAUCAGUCAUAAAUCCUCCCACUGACUUCAUCAAAUCAUGAAGAAGACUUUAGAAAAGUCAAACUAGGGGUACCUAAAUCAAUCAUAUUGAUUUUCUAAUUAGCAUGGGUCAACCCUAAUCAUUAAAUGAUCUGAUUAAAACAUGAUUCACUACGUUGGCCAAAUAAGUAAGAUCAAUGAGAGGGAUAUGCUAUUAACUCAUCAUAGACUCAAUCUAUGCAAGUAGCUCCUAAUUUA